This 777-nucleotide ribosomal RNA is filed under the name actinobacterium SCGC AAA043-M10. RNAcentral's name for it is "bacterial SSU rRNA". It matches the Rfam family "Bacterial small subunit ribosomal RNA", at positions 75 to 863 of the family's 1533-position model. The record is from RNAcentral. Lineage: Bacteria; Bacillati; Actinomycetota; Actinomycetes.
UGUAGCAAUACAAGUGAAGACCUAGUGGCGAACGGGUGAGGAACACGUGAGAAAUUUGCCCCGAACUUUGGGAUAACAGUUGGAAACGACUGCUAAUACCGAAUGCCGUUACGAAGUGGCAUCACUUUGUAACGAAAGAAUUUCGGUUCGGGAGAAUCUCGCGGCCUAUCAGCUUGUUGGUGAGGUAACGGCUCACCAAGGCUACGACGGGUAGCUGGUCUGAGAGGAUGAUCAGCCACACUGGGACUGAGACACGGCCCAGACUCCUACGGGAGGCAGCAGUGGGGAAUCUUGUGCAAUGGACGAAAGUCUGACACAGCCACGCCGCGUGCGGGAAGAAGGCCUUCGGGUUGUAAACCGCUUUCAGCAGGAACGAAAAUGACGGUACCUGCAGAAGAAGGAGCGGCCAACUACGUGCCAGCAGCCGCGGUGACACGUAGGCUCCAAGCGUUGUCCGGAUUUAUUGGGCGUAAAGAGCUCGUAGGCGGUUCAGCAAGUCGGGUGUGAAAACUCUGGGCUCAACCCAGAGCCUGCACCCGAAACUGCUGUGACUAGAGUUCGGUAGGGGAGUGGGGAAUUCCUAGUGUAGCGGUGAAAUGCGCAGAUAUUAGGAGGAACACCGAUGGCGAAGGCACCACUCUGGGCCGAAACUGACGCUGAGGAGCGAAAGCGUGGGUAGCAAACAGGAUUAGAUACCCUGGUAGUCCACGCCGUAAACGAUGGGCACUAGGUGUGGGUCUCUAACCAACGAGAUCCGCGCCGUCGCUAACGCAUUAA